GCGCGGUACGAUUGUUGGAUUCGAGAAGAUUCACUGAAGCAAGGGACACCAUGGAUUGAGGACGGAAUCAAGGUCCAGCAAGAAACAACCAAUGAAUUCGCCGGCAAAGACGACCGGCGCAACGACGAUGUUAAUGGAAGUUCGUCUCAGGUGUGGGUAGUGAAGUUCGUUAGAUGAUGUAGAGAGUGAAGAAAUUGGGGUGGUGAUUAGUGAGAUUGUGAAAGGGUGUCGAGAGAGUUGAAGAAAGAGAUCGAAGAGACUCUUUUUGCAGGUUUUGUGUGUGAUUGUUACAGGGUGAUGGCGAGGGAACUGAAACUCAGUAGUGAUUCCAUUGAAGAGUUGGUUGAAGGUUUGUUAGAGAUGCGAUGAGGAUUGGAGAAGAAAGUGGAGGAAGAGGGAGUUCUGGAAGUUUGGUUAGAGAUACGAUGAGGUUGAAGAAGAAGAAGCUGGAAGAUGAGAAGAAGAUUGAUUUUAUAGGGUGAUGAUAUUGAUUUUUCUGUUAUGGAUUGGUUAUUAUGCAGGUUGUAGGGCGAAAUUGGUUUGUUGCAGAGUACUCAUGAUGCUCUUCCAUUUUGCUGCAUUUUUUAUUUCGCUUUGCUUCAGUUGGUGUAUGCUGCAACUUCAAAUUGCGUUGCCGUUUUGGACUGCCGUGACUUGCGUUUCAAUUUGGCUUGUUUAAGUUGCAGCUUCCGUGGCUCACACUUGUUUUCACGCUUUUCCCACUGUAGCUUGCCUCUGCUGCACAUUCGGUUCUUUUUGUUUUAUUAAAAAAAGAUAAAAGAGAUGGUGAAUCGGACACGGUGUGUUAGAUAAAGGGGUUAGGAUUAUUUAAAUGGAUAACUGUUUAAUGUG
Long non-coding RNA from Lathyrus oleraceus (garden pea), 852 nucleotides. RefSeq lists it as uncharacterized. Lineage: Eukaryota; Viridiplantae; Streptophyta; Magnoliopsida; Fabales; Fabaceae. The transcript is spliced from 2 exons. The record is from RefSeq and is a predicted model, not a curated record.